This 768-nucleotide ribosomal RNA is filed under the name uncultured bacterium. RNAcentral describes it as "bacterial SSU rRNA". It matches the Rfam family "Bacterial small subunit ribosomal RNA", at positions 28 to 805 of the family's 1533-position model. The record is from RNAcentral.
GAUAAACGCUGGCGGCGCACAUAAGACAUGCAAGUCGAACGAACUUAAUCGUUAGUUUACUAAUGAAGCGGUUAGUGGCGGACUGGUGAGUAACACGUAAGCAACCUGCCUAUUAGAGGGGAACAACAGUUAGAAAUGACUGCUAAUACCGCAUAUGCCAUAAGUAUCGCAUGAUACAAGUGGGAAAGGAGCAAUCCGCUAAUAGAUGGGCUUGCGUCUGAUUAGAUAGUUGGUGGGGUAACGGCCUACCAAGUCGACGAUCAGUAGCCGAGUUGAGAGACUCUACGGCCACAUUGGGACUGAGAUACGGCCCAGACUCCUACGGGAGGCAGCAGUCGGGAAUAUUGCGCAAUGGAGGAAACUCUGACGCAGUGACGCCGCGUGCAGGAAGAAGGUUUUCGGAUUGUAAACUGCUUUAGACAGGGAAGAAAAAGACAGUACCUGUAGAAUAAGCUCCGGCUAACUACGUGCCAGCAGCCGCGGUAAUACGUAGGGAGCAAGCGUUAUCCGGAUUUAUUGGGUGUAAAGGGUGCGUAGACGGGAAAAUAAGUUAGUUGUGAAAUCCCCAUGCUUAACAUGGGAACUGCAACUAAAACUGUUUUUCUUGAGUGCUGGAGAGGAAAGUGGAAUUCCUAGUGUAGCGGUGAAAUGCGUAGAUAUUAGGAGGAACACCAGUGGCGAAGGCGACUUUCUGGACAGUAACUGACGUUGAGGCACGAAAGUGUGGGGAGCAAACAGGAUUAGAUACCCUGGUAGUCCACACCGUAA